RNAcentral lists this long non-coding RNA (558 nucleotides) under Vitis vinifera (wine grape). Its description in RNAcentral is "long non-coding RNA (VVIN_LNC006404)". Lineage: Eukaryota; Viridiplantae; Streptophyta; Magnoliopsida; Vitales; Vitaceae. The record is from RNAcentral.
AUUCAAACCCCAACUUCACAGAACUAUAGAAAAUGAAGAGAGAGACAGAAGGAGAAGAUGAUAUACUAGUAAUGGUAGAGUUUCAUUUAUCCACGCAACUGAGACACAGACCAGGCCUUGGAGACAUGGCCAUGGAGAAAACACAUUUGACACCAAACACCAAACCUCAAGCCACAAGUGAUAAUACAAAGGACACAAACUUAAUUAUUUGACACACAAGUACACAACCAACGUUAUUCUUUAAACCCUCAAAUGCAAUUCCUCCUAUAUCAUCAGCCAUCACAUCUUAUUCUUUCUUAUAUCAUGUGCUUACUGGCCACAGGUGCAGUCAAUACAGGCGCAGCUAUCACCACACUUGCAGCUGCCCUCGUGCUGGGCUGCUGGAACCUCCAUCACAACGGUCGCAACAUAGCUGCAAAAACACAACAACACCCAUUAUCAUCAUCAUCAUAUCUUCUUUCAUAGAAAACAAAAACGGAAGAAGAAGAAGAAGAAGUUGUUUUCUUCCUUGAAAUAUAUUAGGGUUCUUGAAGUACUGCAGGAGGGUUUUAGGUUUAC